Molecule: ribosomal RNA, 253 nt
Filed under: uncultured bacterium
Lineage: Bacteria
Description: partial 16S ribosomal RNA
Rfam family: Bacterial small subunit ribosomal RNA
Source: RNAcentral
UACGGAGGGUGCAAGCGUUAUCCGGAUUCACUGGGUUUAAAGGGUGCGUAGGUGGGCAGGUAAGUCAGUGGUGAAAUCUCCGGGCUUAACUCGGAAACUGCCAUUGAUACUAUCUGUCUUGAAUACCCUGGAGGUGAGCGGAAUAUGUCAUGUAGCGGUGAAAUGCUUAGAUAUGACAUAGAACACCCAUUGCGAAGGCAGCUCACUACGGGAUUAUUGACACUGAGGCACGAAAGCGUGGGGAUCAAACAGG